This 253-nucleotide ribosomal RNA is filed under the name uncultured bacterium. RNAcentral's name for it is "partial 16S ribosomal RNA". It matches the Rfam family "Bacterial small subunit ribosomal RNA", at positions 524 to 776 of the family's 1533-position model. The record is from RNAcentral.
UACGAAGGGUGCAAACGUUGCUCGUAAUCAUUUGGCGUAAAGCGCACGUAGGCGGCUCACCAAGUCGGACGUGAAAUCCCUCAGCUCAACUGAGGACGUGCAUCCGAAACUGGCGAGCUUGAGUAUGGAAGAGGGUCGCGGAAUUCCCGGUGUAGAGGUGAAAUUCGUAGAUAUCGGGAGGAACACCAGAGGCGAAGGCGACUUCCGGGACAAUUGCUGACGCUCAGGCACGAAAGCAUGGGGAGCAAAAGGG